UGCCUCACGGGGCGCAGCAGUGAGGAAUAUUGGUCAAUGGACGCAGGUCUAAACCAGCCAUGCCGCGUGCAGGAUGACGGCUCUAUGAGUUGUAAACUGCUUUUGUACGAGGGUAAUAUCGGAUACGUGUAUCUGCCUGAAAGUAUCGUACGAAUAAGGAUCGGCUAACUCCGUGCCAGCAGCCGCGGUAAUACGGAGGAUCCAAGCGUUAUCCGGAUUUAUUGGGUUUAAAGGGUGCGUAGGCGGUUUUAUAAGUUAGAGGUGAAAAUUCGGGGCUCAACUCCGGACGUGCCUCUAAUACUGUU
RNAcentral lists this ribosomal RNA (305 nucleotides) under uncultured bacterium. RNAcentral's name for it is "bacterial SSU rRNA". It matches the Rfam family "Bacterial small subunit ribosomal RNA", at positions 335 to 637 of the family's 1533-position model. The record is from RNAcentral.